GACGAACGCUGGCGGCGCGCCUAACACAUGCAAGUCGAACGAGCGAGCGAGAGCUUGCUUUCUCGAGCGAGUGGCGAACGGGUGAGUAACGCGUGAGGAACCUGCCUCAAAGAGGGGGACAACAGUUGGAAACGACUGCUAAUACCGCAUAAGCCCACGGUGCCGCAUGGCACAGAGGGAAAAGGAGCAAUCCGCUUUGAGAUGGCCUCGCGUCCGAUUAGCUAGUUGGUGAGGUAAUGGCCCACCAAGGCGACGAUCGGUAGCCGGACUGAGAGGUUGAACGGCCACAUUGGGACUGAGACACGGCCCAGACUCCUACGGGAGGCAGCAGUGGGGAAUAUUGCACAAUGGGGGAAACCCUGAUGCAGCGACGCCGCGUGGAGGAAGAAGGUCUUCGGAUUGUAAACUCCUGUUGUUGGGGAAGAUAAUGACGGUACCCAACAAGGAAGUGACGGCUAACUACGUG
Molecule: ribosomal RNA, 466 nt
Filed under: uncultured bacterium
Lineage: Bacteria
Description: partial 16S ribosomal RNA
Rfam family: Bacterial small subunit ribosomal RNA
Source: RNAcentral